CAAUAGCGUAUAUUAAAGUUGUUGCAGUUAAAAAGCUCGUAGUUGGAUUUCUGGUCGGAAGCUCCUGUCCUCUGAUGAGCGUACAAGUGCGUCCUACCAUCCUUCUGUUAACCUUUAAGGCUUUCGCGGCUUUCUAGGGGCUCAGAUAUUUUACCUUGAGAAAAUUAGAGUGUUUCAGGCAGGCUAGCGCCGGAAUACAUUAGCAUGGAAUAAUGGAAUAGGACUUUUGCCUCUUCUGUUGGUCAUGAGGCUCGAGUAAUGAUUAAUAGGGAUAGUUGGGGGCAUUAGUACUUAACUGUCAGAGGUGAAAUUCUCGGAUUUGUUAAAGGCUAACUUAUGCGAAAGCAUUUGCCAAGGAUGUUUUCAUUAA
Molecule: ribosomal RNA, 370 nt
Filed under: uncultured eukaryote
Lineage: Eukaryota
Description: partial 18S ribosomal RNA
Rfam family: Eukaryotic small subunit ribosomal RNA
Source: RNAcentral